AUUGAACGCUGGCGGAAUGCUUUACACAUGCAAGUCGAGCGGCAGCGCGGGGCAACCUGGCGGCGAGCGGCGAACGGGUGAGUAAUACAUCGGAACGUGCCCAGACGUGGGGGAUAACUACUCGAAAGAGUGGCUAAUAACGCAUACGAUCUGAGGAUGAAAGCGGGGGAUCGCAAGACCCCGCGCGUCUGGAGCGGCCGAUGGCAGAUUAGGUAGUGGGUGAGGUAAAGGCUUACCAAGCCUGCGCUCUGUAGCCGGUCUGCGAGGAUGAUCAGCCACACUGGGACUGAGACACGGCCCAGACUCCUACGGGAGGCAGCAGUGGGGAAUUUUGGACAAUGGGCGAAAGCCUGAUCCAGCCAUUCCGCGUGCAGGAUGAAGGCCCUCGGGUUGUAAACUGCUUUUGUACGGAACGAAAAAGCUCCGGCUAAUACCUGGAGUCCAUGACGGUACCGUAAGAAUAAGCACCGGCUAACUACGUGCCAGCCGCCGCGGUAA
Molecule: ribosomal RNA, 498 nt
Filed under: uncultured bacterium
Lineage: Bacteria
Description: partial 16S ribosomal RNA
Rfam family: Bacterial small subunit ribosomal RNA
Source: RNAcentral